CAGUAGCCGCGGGAAUACGGAGGGAGCUAGCGUUGUUCGGAAUUACUGGGCGUAAAGCGCACGUAGGCGGUUACUCAAGUCAGAGGUGAAAGCCCGGGGCUCAACCCCGGAACUGCCUUUGAAACUAGGUGACUAGAAUCUUGGAGAGGUCAGUGGAAUUCCGAGUGUAGAGGUGAAAUUCGUAGAUAUUCGGAAGAACACCAGUGGCGAAGGCGACUGACUGGACAAGUAUUGACGCUGAGGUGCGAAAGCGUGGGGAGCAAACAGGAUUAGAGACCCGUGUAGUCCCUGUCUCUUAUAC
RNAcentral lists this ribosomal RNA (301 nucleotides) under uncultured bacterium. Its description in RNAcentral is "partial 16S ribosomal RNA". It matches the Rfam family "Bacterial small subunit ribosomal RNA", at positions 509 to 807 of the family's 1533-position model. The record is from RNAcentral.